AAACGCUAAACAUUCCUUCUUGAGCAUCUGCUGAGCACAAAGCAAAGACGCCGUGGCCAAGGCCCCCUUCUGGUGCAGAGCCCCACAGUGAGCAGCAGGCAGAUAACUGCUGCUACAAUGUGACUUUCCAUUUCCCGCUUGUCUUCUCCACUGGAACAUUCCGAGGAGGAUCUCAGCAGCUAUCUGAGGAAGGAUGAAAGGCAAGACUGCCUUCCCUGAUCACGCUGCGCUGUUUCCGUGUGUCGGGAAACAGUAAAAUCCACCCAUGGAUGCGUCUGGCUUCCUUUCAACAACACUGUGCUCAGCGCUGAGGCUCCGGGAGGUGCUCACUGCAGUCUGCAUUCCCAGGGAGCUGCAGCCCAGCCUCGGGCAUGGCAACACGUGAGCAACAUGCAGCAUCAUGCCUGGAAGGAUGGGGGAGGUGGCAGGCACCCGGGCCCCAUCUGCCAGCUGAGAGCCAGGCCCUUAGACUCAAAAAGGACAAGCACCUUAGGGCCACACAGCCACACGGGGCUGGACUCCAUCCCAGUGCUGGGAUGGGGAGUCCACACACGAGGGCAGAGAGGGAGGGAUUCUUGCAUCCACACAUGCAGGGUUUGUAAACUGAUUCACGGUGGGGCAUAGUAAAACGAGUAUCCCCGGUAUCACGCUAGAAUCACAAAUUCGAUAGGUUCCGCACAGAGCCCUGGAGUCAGCGUUUGGGUCCUCAGCCCGUGAUUCUCAUGCAGAUGUCUGGAUGAGCACACCAGACCCCUAUCCUAGUCGGUUGGCACAGUGCACCUGCAGAGCUGGCGCCACAUGGAUGCCACCAAGGUUUACCACUAGUCACGUCUGCAGCUGAGGCCUCAGCCACACGUGGGCCUGCUUGAGCCACCGCUGGGGGGCUGCACCCCAGGAUGUACAAGUAGAAACUUGGGGCGGCUCUGGGCAUCAAGCCCCAAAGCACCACGGGUGCCUUGGGCCCCACCCUUGAAACAUCUUCCCUCAAGGGCCUGGCCCUCUGGGCUGGUGAUGGGGGCAACAGCCCCAGAGAGCCCCAAAAUGCCUUCAAAGUCAUUUCACAUUGUCUUUGAUGAAUAGCAUCUGUCUUCCUUCUCGCCAUGCUAAUCUCCUUAAUAAGGAGGCUGGUAUCCAGGGUGGUGCUCAGCUAUGCACCGUUUGGUUUUCUCUCCCAAACACACUUUUUCAUUCUUCACAUAGCUAGGCUGAGAAUUUUCCAAACCUUUAAGUUCUGCUCCCCUUUUAAUUAUAAAUUCCAUCUUCAGUUCUCACAUUUCCUAUGAGCAAUCAAGGGAAGCCGUGCUGUGCCCUCAACACUUUGCUUAGUGAUUUCCUUUGCCACUUAUCCUUGCUAGUCAUUCUUAGCGGCCGCCUUCCGUGGGGCCCAGGACUUGGACACAAUUCAGGCAAGUUCUCUGCUACCUUAUGACGGGGACGGCCACUUCUCCAGUUUCCAAUGCCUUGUCUUGGUCUCUGAGACCUCGUCACAAUGGCUUUUACUGUCCACAUUUCUACCAACACUCUGAUCAUGACUACUUAGGUCACCCCCAAGAAGAUAAAGUCUCUCCCUACAGCUCUCUUCUUCUACAGCUCACCCUAGUCACCCGUAACCCUCUGUUUGUGGCAACACAGGCUUUUUAUAGCAUUGCUUCAAGGCUGCUCCAGCCUCUACUUGUUUCUCAGUUCCAAAGCUGUUUCCACAUUUUCAGGCAUUUGUUGCAGCAACACCCCACUUCUAGCUGUCAGUCUGUUCCUGCUGCUCGAACAAGACACCCGAGACUGGGUAAUUUACCAACAGCAUAAUUGUGUUGCUCACAGCUGUGGAGGCUGGGAAGGUCCUGGAUCAAGGCUCCGGUAGGGUGGGUGUCUGGCAAGGGCUUGUUUCUGCCUCCACGUUGCUACCAUGUCCUCCCAGCAUGAAAAAAGAGGCAGAGCCCUCUGGGGCCUCGUUCAUGCGGGCACCAACCUCAUUCCUCAUCACCUCCCAGAGGCCUCACCUUCUACUAAUAUCAUUAUCACCUUGGUAGUUAGGUUUCAGCAUAUGACUUUGGAGGCACUCAGA
This is a non-coding RNA of Microcebus murinus (gray mouse lemur), 2062 nucleotides long. NCBI's taxonomy places the organism in Eukaryota, Metazoa, Chordata, Mammalia, Primates, Cheirogaleidae. The record is from RefSeq and is a predicted model, not a curated record.